RNAcentral lists this ribosomal RNA (460 nucleotides) under uncultured bacterium. RNAcentral's name for it is "partial 16S ribosomal RNA". It matches the Rfam family "Bacterial small subunit ribosomal RNA", at positions 338 to 795 of the family's 1533-position model. The record is from RNAcentral.
CCUACGGUGUGCAGCAGUGAGGAAUAUUGGUCACUGGUCGUAAGGCUGAACCAGCCAAGUCGCGUGAAGGAAGAAGGGUCUGUGGUUUGUAAACUUCUUUUAUAGGGGAAUCAAGGUAUCCACGCGUGGCUCUUUGCAUGUACCCUAUGAAUAAGCAUCGGCUAACUCCGUGCCAGCAGCCGCGGUCAUACGGAGGCUGCGAGCUGUAUCCGGCUUUAUUGGGUUUAAAGGGUGCGUAGGUGGUGUUUUAAGUCAGCGGGGAAAGUUCGUGGCUCAACCCUAAAAUUGCCGUUGAAACUGGAAGACUUGAGUUUGUGUGAGGUAUGCGGAAUGCGAGGUGUAGCGGUGAAAUGCAUAGAGAUCACGCAGAACUCCGAUUGCGAAGGCAGCUUACUGAGCCAUAACUGACACUGAAGCACGAAAGCGUGGGUAUCAAACAGGAUUAGAUACCCGAGUAGUC